AAAUUCUAUAUCCCGGGCGUGGCUCACGUAAAAGCCUUAACACAAUUAAUCUGCAAAGAUGAGGAAGGCGCCUUGAGGACCAUGGAGACGUUUCAUACCAAAACGCCCAUCGUGGCCCAUGUGGUAGCUGGCAUAGCUAAGCUGGCCGGUGAGGACAAAAUUGGCCGAAAAAUGCUGGGAUGGAGGCAACAGCAGCCUCAACGCCCUACCGGUCGUUGGUCACGUUAAAGGACUCGGUCACUACAUUUGCUUGGACAUCGAAGGAGGUGAACAAGGCCAUGGUCGAUGCCACCAGCACGAACGCUCAACAUCGCUGAUGGCGUCCCGGUCGUUGGGCACGCAAAAGGUGUCAUCCACUACGUUUGUAGAGACGUCGAUGGAGGUAACAAGGCUAUGAAAGCGGCCACGCGGACAACGGCCGUGAUAGGAGCCGGCGCCGGUGGAUUCCUCAUCGGCGGUCCGGUGCUGGGGCUGUGUAUAGUGGCGUCAGUGCCGGAGCUGGAUGGGACACGAUCAAUGCCUCCGUAACCGAUUGGAAAGAAGUCAACGGAUUAGCCAAAAUCAUCGAAAACCCAACAAGCGUCGAUUCCUAUUUCGACGCCGGCUUGAGCUUCGUCGGCGACGGUAUGGCGGGAUAUUCCGGGGGCAAGAUUGCCAAAGAAGUGGUCCGCCGUGUUGGCAAUAAAGCAGCCGGCGGAAAUGCGAGCCCGGCAGCACCCGCAGGAGAGGCAGAAAUAGCAGCAGCCCAGCAACUGGUCGAAGACCUCGAUGCAGGCAAAAUUACCUUUGAGGAAUACCAACAGAAGUGGGACGCCAUGAAACCAAAGGUGAACGCAGACCAAUUGCAGUCGUACUACGACAAUGGGAUCAUCACUGAAAAGCAAUACAAUCAAGCGACGAAGGAAAUGGCCGCGGCUGGUGGCAAAAAUGUGACCGUUAAUGUUCCACUAAACCAAGCACCGACCUCCGAUUGUGCCAGUGGCAACCAGCCUCCACAAAAACCUACCGAGAACAAAAGAUCAAAGCCGGCAUGUCGCGUUUCGGUGCUGCGCCAGCGGCUUACCGAAUUACUUAAUCGUAUACGUCAAUUCAUUAGUCGCUAAGAUGGCAGACAAUGGAGCCGACGCAGACAGGCUAUUUCAAAGGGAAUCUUUCCGUCAGAUAUACGAGAUCGUUUCAGAAUUGAUCUCCAACGGUCAUUCUGUUGCUAUUAGGCAUGACAACUACGAACUCGUCAUCUAUUCUCGUGAUGGCUCGUGGAAUGAAGGGAUCGAGUACGAAGUGGUCCUAUUUUUUGGACAUCCACAAACAGCUGAUCGGCCAGCAAUUCGACCUCGAUCCCGCGUCGUCCGUGCCCUACAGUCUUGUCGGCAGAAUUCCAAGGAUCGGGACUCCAUCUGACAAGGCAAGUGGACCACGGCGGCCACACCAACGUCAUCUACGGGAUUCGCUGCCGGCUUUGCCCCGGCAACAUCAGCUAUGUCGGUCAGACUACUCGAUCAGUACAUGCUCGGGUGUGCCUUGAACACGCCAGGUCCUUAGCAAAGGCGAUCAACGAGGUGUACGAUUCUGGCGAAGCAUCGCGUCGACCUAUGUGCGAACACGCCGCUAAUCACUACCAAAAACAAGAACCUGAAUAUAACCAACCGAGGAAUGUCUUUCGACAGGGGAUGGACGUGAUCCUUCUGCCAAUAACUGGAGGAAAAGACGACCUUCGCUACUGGGAAUGCUUUUGGCAGUUUUUUCUUCACUGCAGGAAGUACUACUGGGGCUGGAGUCAACGCUAAGACUGAACUGGUGGAGAACAGGAAAUUUGCUCAGAAGUACAGUUUCCCUCCUAACAAUUGUUUACUUUUUGAAACAUGGCAAGUAGUGGCAUCAUUAGCAGGUAGAGAAAUCAUCAGCAGGUUUGAUGCUGAUAGCAUAUAACCGCAUUUAACCAUCAUUGCUUUUUAAAACAUGACCGGCAGUGCAACCAUCAGGAGGGUCGAUACUGAAAGAAUAUAACCGCAUAUAACCAUCAGGUUUGCUUGCCUUAUUUUCCCCCUCUCUCUUGAACUGCAUUAUAUAACAGACAUGAGGUAGCAAAUAGAUAACUGAUGCUCCUUUCGUUUUGUUAUACACAGUUUGUCUGUAAUCUGUACUGGUCUACAUAAUACAAAGUUACUAAUUUUCGAAA
Daphnia magna is the source of this 2179-nucleotide RNA transcript. RefSeq lists it as uncharacterized. The record is from RefSeq and is a predicted model, not a curated record. NCBI's taxonomy places the organism in Eukaryota, Metazoa, Arthropoda, Branchiopoda, Diplostraca, Daphniidae. The annotation marks the transcript as partial. The transcript has 2 exons.